UAUAAUUUAGGAAAAAUUGAAGCAUGUAUUUAUUUGGGCGCUUGGUACAUGUGGAAAAUAGUAGCGCAACCGGCCUGGUUUAUA
This 84-nucleotide non-coding RNA is filed under the name Desulfosporosinus sp. Its description in RNAcentral is "c-di-GMP-II sequence". It matches the Rfam family "Cyclic di-GMP-II riboswitch aptamer". The record is from RNAcentral. Lineage: Bacteria; Bacillati; Bacillota; Clostridia; Eubacteriales; Desulfitobacteriaceae.